Non-coding RNA from Clostridiales bacterium 52_15, 107 nucleotides. The record is from Rfam. Lineage: Bacteria; Bacillati; Bacillota; Clostridia; Eubacteriales.
CAGCACUUGCUGACGAUGAGCCGUCAGGACACAGCCUGGUACACUUCGGGCCGGGUUUCGCCCCGGAACCACCCGCGGCGAUGGAACGGCUGUGAGGCUACAAGGAG